RNAcentral lists this ribosomal RNA (293 nucleotides) under uncultured bacterium. Its description in RNAcentral is "partial 16S ribosomal RNA". It matches the Rfam family "Bacterial small subunit ribosomal RNA", at positions 775 to 1067 of the family's 1533-position model. The record is from RNAcentral.
GGAUUAGAUACCCUGGUAGUCCACGCCGUAAACGAUGUCUACUAGCCGUUGGGGGACUUGAUCUUUUAGUGGCGCAGCUAACGCGAUAAGUAGACCGCCUGGGGAGUACGGCCGCAAGGUUAAAACUCAAAUGAAUUGACGGGGGCCCGCACAAGCGGUGGAGCAUGUGGUUUAAUUCGAAGCAACGCGAAGAACCUUACCUACACUUGACAUCCAGAGAACUUGCUAGAGAUAGCUUGGUGCCUUCGGGAGCUCUGAGACAGGUGCUGCAUGGCUGUCGUCAGCUCGUGUUG